Molecule: long non-coding RNA, 283 nt
Organism: Oncorhynchus tshawytscha (Chinook salmon)
Lineage: Eukaryota; Metazoa; Chordata; Actinopteri; Salmoniformes; Salmonidae
Exons: 4
Source: RefSeq, a predicted model, not a curated record
CACGUCCCAGAUGACAAGAACUCCACCAACUACAUAAUUAAGUUGGAUCAGGCAUCUCUGUCUCUCUCCUCCAGAGAAGAUUACAUCACCAACACCACCAGCGCUCAGGCAUAUCGUAGUGCUCUCCUGAACCUCAUGGUGGACAUAGCAGUGAUGUUAGGAGCUCCACUGGAAGCAGCUGAGAUUCAGAUGAGUGAAGCACUGGCCUUUGAGACCAAACUGGCUCAGAUUGUGAUUCCAUUUGAGAACCGGACCAGUGAGUACAUGUACAAUAGAUGCACCA